GGGAUGUGUUCACAUAGAAGUGGAGGAGUCCUUCUGCUUGGAGGCUCUUCCACACCUAAUAACUUCUAUAUAAAGAAUUUAAUCUUUGUGGGAAGUUAUGGGAUGUCGGGUCAAAUUUUAUGCACCAAACAUUGUUUUUUUUCCCUUGCCUCUUAAUUCUUACAUGCCUAGGAUUAUGGGAUCAGGAGAAGUAAAAAUCCUUCUUCUCCUUAACUUCCCCACAUGUUGAUUAUUUGUGGAAAUUUAUUGAUCACCGCAUGAGGUAUUUGGGAUGCCAAAAGUUGGCAUCCUUUGGAAGUAGGAUGGUGCCCCUUCUUAUCUUAUAAAUAAGGGGGUGCUACACCUAGUUUCACAUCCCACUUUAAGGCUGAGUUUAGGCAUGAAAAUGAGAGGAAAAAGAUAAGAUAAAGUCUGAAAAAAAUGCAAGAGAAAAGGGAGAAAAAAAUGGAAAGGAAGGGAAGAAAAAAUGGAAAGCAUAUGAUGCUUGUCCAAAAAUUAGAUUGUUCAUGUGUUGAACAUCAAAUCUGAUUUUGUGUGGUGAGAUUAUUUAAAAAAUAGAUCCUAAAGUGGUCCUAGUAGAGGUAUCGAAGGUAUACAAGUGAUGGUGCAACCUGUUCUUGCGAAAGACGAUCGGCAGCGAACUUGCGAAGAAGGCUACAGCACUACGACGAAUUGGGAAGGGCCCUGAUCAGUCCUGUGUGGAUCACCGUUGGAGGACUUCUACUUUGGAGUCUUGUGGAGAUC
RNAcentral lists this long non-coding RNA (744 nucleotides) under Elaeis guineensis (African oil palm). RNAcentral's name for it is "long non-coding RNA (EGUI_LNC067596)". The record is from RNAcentral. Lineage: Eukaryota; Viridiplantae; Streptophyta; Magnoliopsida; Arecales; Arecaceae.